Molecule: long non-coding RNA, 1745 nt
Filed under: Zea mays
Lineage: Eukaryota; Viridiplantae; Streptophyta; Magnoliopsida; Poales; Poaceae
Description: long non-coding RNA (ZMAY_LNC002637)
Source: RNAcentral
UUCUGAUUUGCGGCCGUGCAAAUUAUGGGAUGCCGAACGCGCGGAUUUCUAUCGUAAUGCGCAAACUUUCAACUGCCUUUUAAUUUUUAAACCGCUGGUCUGUACAUCGAGCAGGUCGGUCAGGUGCAGGCGCUGGUGCUCGUCAAGCUUGGACAGCGCUGCUGAGUGCUGAGUAACCUCUUACAACAAUUGCACCAUAUGAACUUAUAACAAGUACAGUACAUUGAACCACGACAAUUACUCUAGUUGACCAUAAUUGAGAUCGAAUAAGCAGGGUCAGGCAUUAUGGUUUCUGUCUACAAGUUUAUCUUUGUACCUUGCAUCACAACCUUCCAGUGGAAAACUGCAAUGCAAAGGACUUCUGCAGCGCAUAAUUUGCUUUGCUUAUCUUAUCCUGCUCUCAUCUGCAAUAAAGAAAAUGACGGUUUCUCAAAUGAUGAAUUGAAGCUUACAAGAUAUAAACAUGGAAAAUAGUAAUAUGCCCCCAAACUUUUCAACAUCUGGUGUUUCUAAUGAUGUCCUACAACUGAAAGAAUAAUCCAAACUUGGGGUUAUCAAAAAAUGCAUCCAGUCCUGAAUACGGUAAUGCUUGAACAAUGCACCCAAAUAGCAAAGCAAAGUUUCAACAGCACCCACGUAAAAAUCAAAAGGCAAUCGCUGUUUCCUGUAAUAUUCCUACGAAAUUCCUACUGUGUAAACAGAUCCUAGUGCUUCAAAUAUAUCAAAUUAAACCAAAAUUCACAUGCAUAAAUAGUUUGAAAUGGAACAAAAUGUUUGAUAGAAACUGACAACAAAUGUUUCCCCAAAAACACCAAUUAAGAAAAACAAAAUAGGCUCCUCAGAUGUCUCUUCAUCUCCACAAAAUGAGCAGCACCUCGCUGCUUUCAGGAAUUGGAACGAUAUAGGAGGCCAAUUUAAAUCAUCACAGGAGCACUCAACCUUAAUUAAGCAGCAACAGUGCAGCAUCGAGAAGAAGAAGAAUAAGAAGCGGACAAACAAGAGUAGCCCAAACAUUGAUCUAUUCAAGAAACGAACUCGGCUCCUCAGAUGUCUCUUCAUCUCCACAUAGCGUGCAGCACUGCAGCGUCUCACUGGAGCUGCUUUCAGGAAUCGGAACGACAUUAGAAGUAAAUUUGGUCAUCACUGGAGCAUCCAAGUUUAAGGAAACAGAUCCGGCAUAACGUUCUUUGUACCUCGCCUUUGCAUAAAAAAAUAAAGAAAAAAAAUAAAGGAUGUAAACAGCCUCAGAAAAUCUACUCGCAUUGUAAACAUACAAGUGAAUCCCACUCAUUGAGCAUAAAUCACCGCAAACCAGAUCCUCGGCUGGGUGGAAUCAUACAGCAGUAGCGCCUAACAAGCUAUUAGGUAACGAAUCGUUCAAAAAAAAACAGCAGUGAAGAAAUUUAGAUACCAGGUGGAAGCUAGGGUUUGGCCGUGUAGGCAUGCACGAAGAUGGUUGCGUUGCGGCAAAGAGAAGGUUGGAGACGGACGUGGCACUGGUACCGUACCAUUCGUAUUUCGGGCGAAGGGGUCGCAGCCGAAACGUGGUGGCAGGAGCCGCAGAUGCUGUGGACGCCGCCGCAAACGAGAAAGAGGCGAGGGGACUGGCGAGGCGAGGGAGGCGCAACGCCCGCCGCAGCUCGGCAACACGGAGAGCGGAAGGCCGAAGCGGCUCUUGGGCUCAUAGAAGCCAGUGUGACAAGAGAUGGGCCAUGCGGCCAUGCCCAGUUGCCGACUCGGUGGGC